Molecule: ribosomal RNA, 473 nt
Filed under: Bacillus sp. CGEB7
Lineage: Bacteria; Bacillati; Bacillota; Bacilli; Caryophanales; Bacillaceae
Description: bacterial SSU rRNA
Rfam family: Bacterial small subunit ribosomal RNA
Source: RNAcentral
AGUCGAGCGAUGGAUUAGAGCUUGCUCUUAUGAAGUUAGCGGCGGACGGGUGAGUAACACGUGGGUAACCUGCCCAUAAGACUGGGAUAACUCCGGGAAACCGGGGCUAAUACCGGAUAACAUUUUGAACCGCAUGGUUCGAAAUUGAAAGGCGGCUUCGGCUGUCACUUAUGGAUGGACCCGCGUCGCAUUAGCUAGUUGGUGAGGUAACGGCUCACCAAGGCAACGAUGCGUAGCCGACCUGAGAGGGUGAUCGGCCACACUGGGACUGAGACACGGCCCAGACUCCUACGGGAGGCAGCAGUAGGGAAUCUUCCGCAAUGGACGAAAGUCUGACGGAGCAACGCCGCGUGAGUGAUGAAGGCUUUCGGGUCGUAAAACUCUGUUGUUAGGGAAGAACAAGUGCUAGUUGAAUAAGCUGGCACCUUGACGGUACCUAACCAGAAAGCCACGGCUAACUACGUGCCAGCAGC